This 301-nucleotide ribosomal RNA is filed under the name uncultured bacterium. RNAcentral's name for it is "partial 16S ribosomal RNA". It matches the Rfam family "Bacterial small subunit ribosomal RNA", at positions 509 to 807 of the family's 1533-position model. The record is from RNAcentral.
CAGCCGCCACGGUAAUACAGAGGGUGCAAGCGUUAAUCGGAAUUACUGGGCGUAAAGCGCGCGUAGGUGGUUUGUUAAGUUGGAUGUGAAAUCCCCGGGCUCAACCUGGGAACUGCAUCCAAAACUGGCAAGCUAGAGUAUGGUAGAGGGUGGUGGAAUUUCCUGUGUAGCGGUGAAAUGCGUAGAUAUAGGAAGGAACACCAGUGGCGAAGGCGACCACCUGGACUGAUACUGACACUGAGGUGCGAAAGCGUGGGGAGCAAACAGGAUUAGAUACCCCCGUAGUCCCUGUCUCUUAUAC